UGCUAGUGAUUUUGAACCAGAAGAAAAUGGCGAGGAAGAGGGUUUUGAGGAGGAAGAGGAAGAGGAUGAUGAUGAAGACACUAGCGGAAAGGUGGAGGCCCCGCCAAAGAGGAAGAGAUCAAGCAAAGAUGAUGACUCUGACGAUGAUGAUGGCGGAGAGGAUGAGGAUGAGGAUGAUGAGAGACCAUCUAAACGAUAGUCGAUAGGCCCUAUAUAGUAUAGAGGUCAAUCCCCCUUCAUGUAUGAUGGAUGAUGGUUCUUGUAGUCCUUAGUUCUAAUCACUGUUGGGAUUAUGACACCAUUUUAGUUUAGUUUAGUUUAAGAACUUUGGUUCAAGAUUUUUUUUUUAAUUGUAUGUGUUGGUGUUUUUUAGUUGUUCAACUCUGUUUGGUCUGCUAUUUUGGUGCAAGUAUUUAUAUAUGGUGGGCG
RNAcentral lists this unclassified non-coding RNA (429 nucleotides) under Hevea brasiliensis (rubber tree). Lineage: Eukaryota; Viridiplantae; Streptophyta; Magnoliopsida; Malpighiales; Euphorbiaceae. The record is from RNAcentral.